RNAcentral lists this ribosomal RNA (323 nucleotides) under uncultured eukaryote. RNAcentral's name for it is "partial 18S ribosomal RNA". It matches the Rfam family "Eukaryotic small subunit ribosomal RNA", at positions 1470 to 1796 of the family's 1831-position model. The record is from RNAcentral.
CCCCUAGAUGUUCUGGGCCGCACGCGCGCUACACUGAACAGUUCAACAAGUCUUAACCUUGGCCGAUAGGUCUGAGUAAUCUUUGAACGCUGUUCGUGAUUGGGAUAGACCUUUGCAAUUAUGGGUCUUCAACGAGGAAUUCCUAGUAAACGCAAGUCAUCAGCUUGCAUUGAUUACGUCCCUGCCCUUUGUACACACCGCCCGUCGCACCUACCGAUUGAAUGGUCCGGUGAAAUCUCCGGACUGGCGUGAGUCGGAGCAAUCUGACAAACGCCGGAAAGUUGAUUAAACCUUACCAUUUAGAGGAAGGUGAAGUCGUAACA